This 393-nucleotide ribosomal RNA is filed under the name uncultured bacterium. RNAcentral's name for it is "partial 16S ribosomal RNA". It matches the Rfam family "Bacterial small subunit ribosomal RNA", at positions 523 to 918 of the family's 1533-position model. The record is from RNAcentral.
AUACGGAGGAUCCGAGCGUUAUCCGGAUUUAUUGGGUUUAAAGGGAGCGUAGGCGGGAGAUCAAGUCAGCUGUGAAAUGUAGAUGCUCAACAUCUGCACUGCAGUUGAAACUGGUUUUCUUGAGUGCGUAAGGGGCAGGCGGAAUUCGUCGGGUAGCGGUGAAAUGCUUAGAUAUGACGAAGAACUCCGAUCGCGAAGGCAGCCUGCCGGGCCGCGACUGACGCUGAAGCUCGAAGGUGCGGGUAUCGAACAGGAUUAGAUACCCUGGUAGUCCGCACGGUAAACGAUGAUUACCCGCUGUCGGCGGUAGACAGUCGGCGGCCAAGCGAAAGCGAUAAGUAAUCCACCUGGGGAGUACGCCGGCAACGGUGAAACUCAAAGGAAUUGACGGGG